CAAAAAGCAUUGACGAGGAGGAGUACAUGCAGUUUCCGGAUGGACAGAGAGAAAUUGGUUGGUGAAAAAUUUCGUGAAGGACGCAUGGAAGUAGCCUUUGAGCUUUGGAUCGAACAGGUAUAGUUUUUACGGCUUUAGUAGACUCCAACGGAGAUUCCCACCGUUAUCAGGGAAGCGAUAUCGGAAUUAAAAAUAGAUUCCCGUAUUGUAUUGAGUGCAGAAGUAUUUCUGAAUCUAGGUGGUACCACGGACAUGUAUGUUCGCCCUGGGC
Molecule: non-coding RNA, 271 nt
Filed under: Clostridiales bacterium
Lineage: Bacteria; Bacillati; Bacillota; Clostridia; Eubacteriales
Description: T-box sequence
Rfam family: T-box leader
About the family: Uncharged tRNA acts as the effector for transcription antitermination of genes in the T-box leader family. T-boxes are found upstream of many aminoacyl-tRNA synthetase genes and some amino acid biosynthetic genes usually in Gram-positive bacteria.
Source: RNAcentral